UAUUCAAAUUCUAACAAUGUCUUAUUCAGAAUGUUAAGUUCAUUUUAACAACUGGACUUUUUGUAGCUGGAUGCUGCAAAAUAUGAUGUACUUAUUGGAGCAGUUUGCAAGGACAGACACUGGACGCUGGUGGCUAUGUACCCCAAGGAGCGUUUGUUGACCCUUUUGGUGCCACCAGUGCCCAGGUGAAGAAAUGCAAUGAAAUGACAAGGUCCGGGUCCGUAUAGGACAGCUUCUGGGUCCGGACCUGGACUGCGCUUAGUGACCUCUGAUGUAGAGCCUUCAUCAGAAGGAGGAACAUAAACAUCUCCAAGUGGUGGCAGUGCAUAUAUUAAGGGGACAGAGGGCAGACUUUCCGGUUGACAUGGAGGCAGUCAACCAAAUGAGAAUGGAAAUGGCCCAAAUGCUGAUUUCCGAGUCAGAUGCAAUGGAGGAUGUUUGCCAUUUCUGUAGGGAGAAAAGCCCAGGAAUGACUGCACAGACCCAUGUUGACUGGAGAAAGAAGAAGAGAGAAUCAGAGAGGGGAUGGAGACAGAGGACGGUGGGCCAGUAAAACAGAAUAUAUUCU
Molecule: long non-coding RNA, 568 nt
Organism: Thunnus maccoyii (southern bluefin tuna)
Lineage: Eukaryota; Metazoa; Chordata; Actinopteri; Scombriformes; Scombridae
Exons: 6
Source: RefSeq, a predicted model, not a curated record